CCCUCUUAAACUGCAAGGUUUAGUGUUGGGCCAGGCUGCGGCCGGCCUGAAAUAGCGAGGGGUGUGUAUAUAUAUCUCUGAGAUAAUGUCUAGGUUCUGCCAACUCAUUACGAAGAGAGACAAUACGUCUGAGCACCUUUUACUAAAUUACCAA
Molecule: unclassified non-coding RNA, 154 nt
Filed under: Komagataea pratensis
Lineage: Eukaryota; Fungi; Ascomycota; Saccharomycetes; Phaffomycetales; Wickerhamomycetaceae
Description: Barnettozyma pratensis partial internal transcribed spacer 2
Source: RNAcentral